Arachis stenosperma is the source of this 419-nucleotide long non-coding RNA. RefSeq lists it as uncharacterized. NCBI's taxonomy places the organism in Eukaryota, Viridiplantae, Streptophyta, Magnoliopsida, Fabales, Fabaceae. The transcript has 3 exons. The record is from RefSeq and is a predicted model, not a curated record.
CGCAGCAAAACAAAUUUGGGGAGGAAGAAGAGCCCCCAAACCCUUAACCUCCUUUAAUCCGCCAUAACUCUUCCGUCCGGGCUCCGAUUGUUGCACCGUUCGCGGCCACGAUUCCAGCGCGUUGAGCUCUACAUCUGUAUUGGAUCAAUUUCACUGGUUCGAUUUAGCUUGCGGAGCUUACUGGGUUUGAGUUGCUACGCGUGUGGGAGCGAUGCAGGUCGAGAGGCUCCUCGCUAGGCGUCUGGAUCCUGGAAAGCGAAGUAGUCCUUGGGUGUAUUUUGGUUUCUGGCUGUAUAUAUGUAUAUAUAUGUUUAGCUUACUCUCCAAGUAACUUAUGUAUGCUGCUCCUCUUAGAGAUUGAGGGAGAGAGAGGAGUUAUUUUGAUACUAUAGUGUAUUUUGGGAUAUUUUGAGAACACU